UUUAGAGACAUCAUCCGAGACUGAUCCAAGAAGACCAUGUCAAACUAAGGAUGCGAGAUGAGAGCCACACAAGUGACCCCAGGCGACGAUGGCACUUCUAAGCAUAACUGGUAGACAAGGUAACAGAGGUGGAGAGACUAGCGGCUGUAGCAGCAGAGUCACUUGAUCCAGCAUCCUACGUGCCUGUGCGCUCUCCGUUACCCGCCGAUCCGGCUUGGUGUGCUUCUCCUGUUUGCGGGUUGUGUGCCACGCACUUGAUUAAGCACCCCACGUUCUCCUACAGUGCGCCCUUGACCCUGGCUUUAGGUAGCGCCAUGUCCUCGGCUUGCCGUGCAUAAUCCAGGUAUGCGCCAACUGUCCGAGCUCCUGCUCACCAUCGGUGUUGCUCGAGCGUGGGUUCUGGUGUCGCCCAUAAAGGGAACACGGGAUGUGGGAUUGAGACAGUUCACAUAGCAACCCACAGCAAGGCAAAGGAUGCCCAUCCAACUGGCAGGGAGCGGAGGUGGACCCAAAAAGGUGGAUGUUGACUCGAAGGAGUCUCAACAGUACGCUUGUCAGUAAGAGGAGCAAGAAGAUCCUGGAUAUACUUCUCUUAGCAAAUAAAGAAGCCAUCAAAGGUAGACUCAGGGAAGUAGCGAUGAGGACCAAGGUCAGACAUAAGAAACUCACUGUGACGAGCCUUCACAAAGGCAAUGUACUUAAGAGUCGUGCAGGAUCAUGAGCACCCGUUGAAAAACGAGCCUUAUUAACCACAGAGACAAUGCUCAAACCAGUCAUGAGGGGUUUGCGAAAGAGCAUAUAGAGAACGCCGAAGGCGACAAACCAUGCCGGCUGGAAAAGAAUACCCAAGUGGUGGCUACAUGUAGGCAUUGUUGACAUCAAGCUGAGAGAGAGAGAGAUAGAUAGAUAGAUAGAGAGAGAGAGAGCCUAUGUUGGCAAACAGAAGCACAUCGAAAAGUGUUCCAAAAGUGGUCAUCUGGGCCAUACAGGAGCAAAUGUCUCAUCGUAGUCAUGACUAUGUUCUCACCACUAGACGUGGUUUGUAGAGCUCUAGAGUAACAUCAUAGUCUCACCCUUGUGGGCCUAGUUACAAGUAAUGAGACGAGCAAGAGGAGGAAGGGAAAUGAGAUUCCACUAGCCGACGAGGUGAAGAGCAUUUGAUGCCAUCACAUGCUGCCAUUGUGGAUGAAAAAAAUGUCAUGAUAAGAAGUCUUCUUGUGAAGAGCACCGCAAUAACUAACCAUAGCAGUCAAUAGGCAGAAGCCGGCGAGCUCGAAAGCCAUAAGUAGGCUGAUCUGGAGCUAUGUGUUGCCAACAGAAGAAGACAUAGUAGUUGAGGGAGAUGACUCAUUAUAAGAAUCCACAACACGCGAACAAUGAGUGUAGUAAAGUCAAGGAAGAUGAGCAAAAGAAGGAACAUGCAAGACAAACUGCCAAGAGUGCCUCGACUAUCGACUGGCAGGGAAGUUACAUUGACAGUAAAAACAUGAACAUGAGAAUCUAGAUGUGGAAUACCCAAGUGGUGGCUGCACGUAAAACCCCUGACAAAAUUCACCAUUAAAAAAGUCUUUGUUAACAUCAAGCCGAGACGGAGUGACGAAUAAAGGCCGCAACAAGAUGUGUGUGAACAAUUGUCGUAUGGCCCGCAUGAGCUGAAACUCUCAUCGUAAUUAGGACCAUGAUUCUACUAAAAGCCACGAGCCACAAGACGAGCUUUGUAAUGUUCAAGAGAACCAUCAGAGCGAGUCUUAACCUUGUUGACGCACCAAGUAAUGGGACGAACACGAGGAGGAAGGGACACAAUAUCCGAUGUGCUGAUGUGCUCAACAGUAGCAAUAUCCUCUACCAUGGCAAGGCGCCAUUUGGUAUGAAAAACAUCAAGAUAAGAAGUCUGCUCAAGAAAGUGGCGCCAACGUUUCAUAGCCUAAGGCGGUCCACAUGCAAAAGUGGACGAGGUCGCAAGCCAUAAGAAGGCCGAGACGGAGAAGAUGGCACAUCAGUAGAUGCAUCCAGAACACAUGAACGACGUGUUUAAAAGUGAGGCAAAUGUGGAAGAAUACGAGCAAUAAUCCCCGAGAUAAGCUCAGGUUAUGGAGACAAGGAAGUCACCGAUGAUGAAGGUUUAAAAUCCCGUGAUAAGCGAAGUGAGGAAAUCAUAGGAGAUGAUGGUGUUGAAUCUGUAAUAAUUGGAGAAGCAGGAGCAGUACGAGGAAUGGAAUAGGGCUCAACUAUAGUGAUAAGAAUGUCGGGAAAAGUGAGGUAACACAUCCUCCACUAAAAAGGUCGGGGAUGAUGGUCACACGUAGCAGGGACGAGACUCAUUAAAAGUCAUACUGUGAGAAAUAGCACCCGAUGACCAACCUGAUCCCAACAACAAUAUCUCUUAUGGUCAUUGUUGUAUCCUAUGAACACUCAACAUACUAAGUAGUAAGUUUGGAACAUUGACGAGAGGCAGUAAGGGCACAUCAAACACAACCAAACAAUUGAAGCGCUGAAUAAUCUGGAAACGAUCAAAUAGACUCUUGAAAGGAGAUGACCAUGGUGGAAGUGGAGACGCAUUCAACCCAAAGGUGUGGCGUAAGAGAGGCAGUGACCAUCCAAAAGUGUGGCGGAAGAGAGAACAGUGAAAUUGAACCUAUGAGCCGUCUCAAUAGUUGACGAUGCUUGCCCUCAGCCAUGCCAUUUCUGAGCAUGAGCACCAAGAUAAGAGAACUGAGCAAGAGCACCCUGCUCAACAAGGAUUGAGCGCAACAUCUUGGAGAUUUAGUGUCCACCGAGUCAUCACAGAAUACAAGAAUAGGCGGUGAGAGAUACUAUGUUGGCAAACAGAAGCCACAUCGAAAAGUGUGCCAAAAGUGGUCAUCUGGGCCUUACAGGAGCAAAUGUCUCAUCGUAGUCAUGACUAUAUGUUCUCACCACUAGAUGAGCUUUGUAAAGCUCUAGAGAAACAUCAUAGCCUCACCCUUUGAUGUCAUCACAUGCUGCCAUUAUGGAUGAAAAACCGUCAUGAUAAGAAGUCGUCUUGCGAAGAGCACCACAAUAACUAACCAUAGCAGGCGAGCUCGAAAGCCAUAAGUAGGCUGAUCUGGAGCUAUGUGUUGCCAACAGAAGAAUACAUAGUAAUCGAGGGAGUUGACUCAUUAGAAGAAUCCACAAGACGCGAACAGUGAGUGUAGUAAAGUCAAGGAAGACGAGCAAAAGAAGGAACAUGAAAAGAGAAACUGCCAAGAGCGCCUCGACUAUCGACAGGUAGGGAAGUUACCAGGAUAAGAGAACUGAGCAAGAGCACCGUGCUCAACAAGGAUUGAAUGCAACAUCUUGGAGAUUUAUUCUCCACCAGAGUCAUCACGGAAUACAAGAAUAGGCGUAGGGAACUUGUUGUGUGCCAUGGCGUCAAAACGCUUACACAUAUAAGACCUCACUACGAAAGGAAAUAAAGUAUAUCCAGGUGUGUUGAGAGAAGUCAUCUAUAAAUAUAGUACUAGCGAUGACCUCCUUUCGAGGCGAAAGGAGGUGGGCCCCAGACAUCAGAGUGAACAAGGUUGAAAGGGUUGUUGAGACACUGUCUCGCUAUGAGCAUAAGGUAAGUAUAGCUGUUUACCAAGCCGACAACCCAGACAGUUUAGAGACAUCAUCCGAGACUGAUCCAAGAAGACCAUGUCAAACUAAGGAUGCGAGAUGAGAGCCACACAAGUGACCCCAGGCGACGAUGGCACUUCUAAGCAUAACUGGUAGACAAGGUAACAGAGGUGGAGAGACUAGCGACUGUAGCAGCAGAGUCACUUGAUCCAGCAUCCUACGUGCCUGUGCGCUCUCCGUUACCCGCCGAUCCGGCUUGGUGUGCUUCUCCUGUUUGUGGGUUGUGUGCCACGCACUUGAUUAAGCACCCCACGUUCUCCUACAGUGCGCCCUUGACCCUGGCUUUAGGUAGCGCCGUGUCCUCGGCUUGCCGUGCAUAAUCCAGGUAUGCGCCAACUGUCCGAGCUCCUGCUCACCAUUGGUGUUGCUCGAGCGUGGGUUCUGGUGUCGCCCAUAAAGGGAACACGGGAUGUGGGAUUGAGACAGUUCACAUAGCAACCCACAACAAGGCAAAGGAUGCCCAUCCAACUGGCAGGGAGCGGAGGUGGACCCAAAAAGGUGGAUGUUGACUCCAAGGAGUCUCAACAGGACGCUUGUCAGUAAGAGGAGCAAGAAGAUCCUGGAUAUACUUCUCUUAGCAAAUAAAGAAGCCAUCAAAGGUAGACUCAGGGAAGUAGCGAUGAGGACCAAGGUCAGACAUAAGAAACUCACUGUGACGAGCCUUCACAAAGGCAAUGUACUUAAGAGUCGUGUAGGAUCAUGAGCACCCGUUGAAAAACGAGCCUUAUUAACCACAGAGACAACGCUCAAACCAGUCAUGAGGGGUUUGCUAAAGAGCAUAUAGAUAAUGCCGAAGGCGACAAACCAUGCCGGCUGGAAAAGAAUACCCAAGUGGUGGCUACAUGUAGGAUUGUUGACAUCAAGCUGAGAGAGAGAGAGAGAGAGAGAGAGAGAGAGAGAGAGAGAGAGAGAGAGAGAGAGAGAGAGAGAGAGAGAGAGAGAGAGAGAGAGAGAGAGAGAGAGAGAGNNNNNNNNNNNNNNNNNNNNNNNNNNNNNNNNNNNNNNNNNNNNNNNNNNNNNNNNNNNNNNNNNNNNNNNNNNNNNNNNNNNNNNNNNNNNNNNNNNNNGAGAGAGAGAGAGAUAGAUAGAUAGAUAGAGAGCCUAUGUUGGCAAACAGAAGCACAUCGAAAAGUGUGCCAAAAGUGGUCAUCUGGGCCAUACAGGAGCAAAUGUCUCAUCCUAGUCAUGACUAUAUGUUCUCACCAGUAGACGAGCUUUGUAAAGCUCUAGAGAAACAUCAUAGUCUCACCCUUGUGGGCCUAGUUACAAGUAAUGAGACGAGCAAGAGGAGGAAGGGAAAUGAGAUUCCACUAGCCGACGAGGUGAAGAGCAUUUGAUGCCAUCACAUGCUGCCAUUGUGGAUGAAAAAAAUGUCAUGAUAAGAAGUCUUCUUGUGAAGAGCACCGCAAUAACUAACCAUAGCAGUCAAUAGGCAGAAGCGGACGAGCUCGAAAGCCAUAAGUAGGCUGAUCUGGAGCUAUGUGUUGCCAACAGAAGAAGACAUAGUAGUUGAGGGAGAUGACUCAUUAUAAGAAUCCACAACACGCGAACAAUGAGUGUAGUAAAGUCAAGGAAGAUGAGCAAAAGAAGGAACAUGCAAGACAAACUGCCAAGAGUGCCUCGACUAUCGACUGGCAGGGAAGUUACAUUGACAGUAAAAACAUGAACAUGAGAAUCUAGAUGUGGAAUACCCAAGUGGUGGCUGCACGUAAAACCCCUGACAAAAUUCACCAUUAAAAAGUCUUUCUUAACAUCAAGCCGAGACGGAGUGACGAAUAAAGGCCGCAACAAGAUGUGUGUGAACAAUUGUCGUAUGGCCCGCAUGAGCUGAAACUCUCAUCGUAAUUAGGACCAUGAUUCUACUGAAAGCCACGAGCCACAAGACGAGCUUUGUAAUGUUCAAGAGAACCAUCAGAGCGAGUCUUAACCUUGUAGACGCACCAAGUAAUGGGACGAACACGAGGAGGAAGGGACACAAUAUCCUCUACCAUGGCAAGGCGCCAUUUGGUAUGAAUAACAUCAAGAUAAGAAGUCUGCUCAAGAAAGUGGCGCCAACGUUUCAUAGCCUAAGGCGGUCCACAUGCAAAAGUGGAAGAGGUCGCAAGCCAUAAGAAGGCCGAGACGGAGAAGAUGGCACAUCAGUAGAUGCAUCCACAACACACGAACGACGUGUAUAAAAGUGAGGCAAAUGUGGAAGAAUACGAGCAAUAAUCCCCGAGAUAAGCUCAGGUUAUGGAGACAAGGAAGUCACCGGUGAUGAAGGUUUAGAAUCCCGUGAUAAGCGAAGUGAGGAAAUCAUAGGAGAUGAUGGUGCUGAAUCUGUAAUAAUUGGAGAAGCAGGAGCAGUACGAGGAAUGGAAUAGGGCUCAACGAUAGUGAUAAGAAUGUCGGGAAAAGUGAGGUAACACAUCCUCCACUAAAAAGGUCGGGGAUGAUGGUCACACGUAGCAGGGACGAGACUCACUAAAAGUCAUACCGUGAGAAAUAGUCACCCGAUGACCAACCUGAUCCCAACAACAAUAUCUCUUAUGCUCAUUGUUGUAUCCUAUGAACACUCAACAUACUAAGUAGUAAGUUUGGUACAUUGACGAGAGGCAGUAAGGGCACAUCAAACACAACCAAACAAUUGAAGCGCUGAAUAAUCUGGAAACGAUCAAAUAGACUCUCGAAAGGAGAUGACCAUGGUGGAAGUGGAGACGCAUUCAACCCAAAAGUGUGGCGUAAGAGAGGCAGUGACCAUCCAAAAGUGUGGCGGAAGAGAGAGCAGUGACGCUGAACCUAUGAGCCGUCUCAAUAGUUGACGAUGCUUGCCCUCAGCCAUGCCAUUUUUGAGCAUGAGCACCACGAUAAGAGAACUGAGCAAGAGCACCCUGCUCAACAAGGAUUGAGCGCACCAUCUUGGAGAUUUAGUCUCCGCCGAGUCAUCACAGAAUACAAGAAUAGGCGUAGAGAGAUACUAUGUUAGCAAACAGAAGCCACAUCGAAAAGUGUGCCAAAAGUGGUCAUCUGGGCCAUACAGGAGCAAAUGUCUCAUCGUAGUCAUGACUAUAUGUUCUCACCACUAGAUGAGCUUUGUAAAGCUCUAGAGAAACAUCAUAGCCUCACCCUUUGAUGUCAUCACAUGCUGCCAUUAUGGAUGAAAAAACGUCAUGAUAAGAAGUCGUCUUGCGAAGAGCACCACAAUAACUAACCAUAGCAGGCGAGCUCGAAAGCCAUAAGUAGGCUGAUCUGGAGCUAUGUGUUGCCAACAGAAGAAUACAUAGUAAUCGAGGGAGUUGACUCAUUAGAAGAAUCCACAACACGCGAACAGUGAGUGUAGUAAAGUCAAGGAAGACGAGCAAAAGAAGGAACAUGAAAAGAGAAACUGCCAAGAGCGCCUCGACUAUCGACAGGUAGGGAAGUUACCAGGAUAAGAGAACUGAGCAAGAGCACCGUGCUCAACAAGGAUUGAAUGCAACAUCUUGGAGAUUUAUUCUCCACCAGAGUCAUCACGGAAUACAAGAAUAGGCGUAGGGAACUUGUUGUGUGCCAUGGCGUCAAAACGCUUACACAUAUAAGACCUCACUACGAAAGGAAAUAAAGUAUAUCCAGGUGUGUUGAGAGAAGUCAUCUAUAAAUAUAGUACUAGCGAUGACCUCCUUUCGAGGCGAAAGGAGGUGGGCCCCAGACAUUAGAGUGAACAAGGUUGAAAGGGUUGUUGAGACACUGUCUCGCUAUGAGCAUAAGGUAAGUAUAGCUGUUUACCAAGCCGAC
This 7392-nucleotide long non-coding RNA is filed under the name Hordeum vulgare. Its description in RNAcentral is "long non-coding RNA (HVUL_LNC007059)". The record is from RNAcentral. Lineage: Eukaryota; Viridiplantae; Streptophyta; Magnoliopsida; Poales; Poaceae.